CCUGCCGCGUGUAUGAAGAAGGCCUUCGGGUUGUAAAGUACUUUCAGCGGGGAGGAAGGGAGUAAAGUUAAUACCUUUGCUCAUUGACGUUACCCGCAGAAAAAGCACCGGCUAACUCCGUGCCAGCAGCCGCGGUAAUACGGAGGGUGCAAGCGUUAAUCGGAAUUACUGGGCGUAAAGCGCACGCAGGCGGUUUGUUAAGUCAAAUGUGAAAUCCCCGGGCUCAACCUGGGAACUGCAUCUGAUACUGGCAAGCUUGAGUCUCGUAAAGGGGGGUAGAAUUCCAGGUGUAGCGGUGAAAUGCGUAAAGAUCUGGAGGAAUACCGGUGGCGAAGGCGGCCCCCUGGACAAAAACUGACGCUCAGGUGCGAAAGCGUGGGGAGCAAACAGGAUUAAAUACCCUGGUAGUCCACGCCGUAAACGAUGUCGACUUGGAGGUUGUGCCCUUGAGGCGUGGCUUCCGGAGCUAACGCGUUAAGUCGACCGCCUGGGGAGUACGGCCGCAAGGUUAAAACUCAAAUGAAUUGACGGGGGCCCGC
This 539-nucleotide ribosomal RNA is filed under the name uncultured bacterium. RNAcentral's name for it is "bacterial SSU rRNA". It matches the Rfam family "Bacterial small subunit ribosomal RNA", at positions 393 to 924 of the family's 1533-position model. The record is from RNAcentral.